RNAcentral lists this ribosomal RNA (465 nucleotides) under uncultured bacterium. RNAcentral's name for it is "partial 16S ribosomal RNA". It matches the Rfam family "Bacterial small subunit ribosomal RNA", at positions 28 to 507 of the family's 1533-position model. The record is from RNAcentral.
GACGAACGCUGGCGGCGUGCUUAACACAUGCAAGUCGAACGGAAAGGCCCCUUUGGGGGUCCUCGAGUGGCGAACGGGUGAGUAACACGUGAGUAAUCUGCCCUUGACUUCGGGAUAACUUCAGGAAACUGGGGCUAAUACCGGAUAGGAAUCCUUGCUGCAUGGUGGGGGUUGGAAAGCUUCGGCGGUUUUGGAUGGACUCGCGGCUUAUCAGCUUGUUGGUGGGGUAGUGGCUUACCAAGGCUUUGACGGGUAGCCGGCCUGAGAGGGCGACCGGCCACAUUGGGACUGAGAUACGGCCCAGACUCCUACGGGAGGCAGCAGUGGGGAAUAUUGCACAAUGGGCGGAAGCCUGAUGCAGCAACGCCGCGUGCGGGAGGACGGCCUUCGGGUUGUAAACCGCUUUCAGCAGGGGCGAAGCUUGUGGUGACGGUACCUGCAGAAGAAGCACCGGCUAACUACGUG